UGCCCAGGAGGCUGAUGCCACAUAGAAGACCUGCAGGUCGGUGGAUGUGAAACAGGCAUCGGACACGCUGUGCACCUUGGGACGCAUCUGAGAAGUGUGUGCUUGCAGCAGAUCUGAGAAGUGAGGGUGAACGCUGAGUUAUUCACGGGAGUCAAGAAACCACACGCAGCCCAAAGUGACGUUUGUUUCCCUGAAAUGAUUUGUGUGUGUUCACCUUAAAAUGCAACUCAGUAAAACAGGGACACUAGCAGCCCCCACAUCCGAUCACAGUGGCCUGAAGGUUAAAGGCAACGGCGGCACGAGACGUACAGUAAGAGCUCUGAGCAGGGAGAGCAGGGAGCUGCCCAGGGAGUUCCACCACCAUCUCCCAUCUGGCCGCCGAGGAAACCGAGGCUCAUGGUGACCUGGCCAGGUCUGUUGGACUCAGGGUCCUUCUCAUCCCGAAGAUCAGAGAGCUGUCACCAGGGAAGGAGCUGGCCCCUAGACACAGCCCAGGAAGCACACAGAGAAGGAUGCCCUGGGGACUUCGGUAUGUUAUUGCAAAAAAAACAUUAAUUGCUAUUUGAACCCUGCUUUCAUGCCUCCAUUUCCCAGAAAAUGAGCCACGGAGACACCAGGAGAGGCAGGAGACCAUCCUCCUUGCACAAAACCCAUUCCCUUGGAUGCUGUCCUCAGCGAGGGUGGCUGAGGGCCAACCAGGGGGCCCACCCGCAGAGUGGCAGAGGAGGUCCAUGGCGGCUGCCAGGGCCAGCUGGUAGUACCCGGCUGCAUCAAACGGGUCCUGAAGGGGACAGGCCAUGCUCAGCAAAAGGGGGACUCGGAGCCCGUCUUCCCAGAGGCCGUUCCUGUCUCCAGGUCAUUCCACAUGUCCAGCCAAUGCUGGCUCACCCCAUGAGCCCCGAAGCCUGUGACACUGCUGUGGUCUCAGCUGCAGGAGGUGGGGAUGACCCUGACACCCCUGGAAGCCUUCCUGAGUGUCCCUACGCCCCACUCACCCCAAGCCUCCUGCCCCAGUGCCACCCUCUCUGCAGGCAGUGGCUGCUUUCCCCAUGGGCUGAGGUCAGGGCAGAUCCUGCCUGCUCUGACAGUUCCAUGCAGGACUCGUGGCUCCAAGCCACAGCAGGGGCACAGCGUUGAGUGACCCAGGCUCCCCUCUGGCCCCUGUCCAAACUGACCAUUUCCAGGCCCUCCACGGGACAGGCCAGGUACAAAACCAUCUCACAGGUGUCCUCCCUGGCAAUGAUCCCUGAAAUAUUGAUGGAGUGUGACUCCCCA
RNAcentral lists this long non-coding RNA (1275 nucleotides) under Macaca mulatta (Rhesus monkey). Its description in RNAcentral is "lncRNA (ENSMMUG00000060589.1)". The record is from RNAcentral. Lineage: Eukaryota; Metazoa; Chordata; Mammalia; Primates; Cercopithecidae.